This is a long non-coding RNA of Dromaius novaehollandiae (emu), 956 nucleotides long. RefSeq lists it as uncharacterized. Lineage: Eukaryota; Metazoa; Chordata; Aves; Casuariiformes; Dromaiidae. The transcript has 2 exons. The record is from RefSeq and is a predicted model, not a curated record.
AGCCCUGCCCGGAGGUCGCUCCUUUCCUCUGGCUUCUGGGUCCCCAUCUGGAGGCUUCUUAACAGUGCUGGGCGCGCAGAUGAAGAAUACGUGGCCUGUAACGUAAACCGGGGCCCUCCGGAGCUCCAACUCGGGAAGCUCCCGCCAGGCUCUUGCUUGCAGGACUGGAAGUUGAAGCACUGAAGAAGGAAACUACCCAAAUGCAAUGCACUGAGGAUAAUGAGUGUUACACAGGUGCAAGCAUAAGAUAAACCACGAGAAAAAUGAACUCUGCCGACCUAUCGGCAAGCUCACCAAGGAGGUGGAGAUGGAGCAGAAGUGCUAUAUGAUGAGGAGCUUAAGUAUGCUAAAAGCAAAGAGCUGGUGAAUGAAACUGCUGGCAGCUUUAAAGAGAAGCAGUAAGAUGGCCUCACUGUUCUUUACAGUGAGGAUAGAAACCCAAAAGGAAAACACACACUUAACGAGCCCUAGAAUUGGGAAAACAAAGGAAUGGAUAUUCAGUCUUUUCAGUUAAGUCUCUCCUUUUCCCAACUCUCAAGAUUUCAUAGAUCAAAGCACAAUUGGCUGAGUAUCACAAAACAGCUCAGAAACUGAAGCUAAUUCCCACAAGCAUGGCAGUUUCCCCACGGCCACAACUUUAAAAUUAAAUUUAACCCGGAGAAUGGAGUUCACUCUUUCAUCACAAGCAGGCCUCGAUCAGUGUGGUGUGUUCUGGUAACGCCCACCAACGCUGCUCAGGGGCUGCCAUCACUGAGCAUUUGGCAAAGAACUCGGCACCAGUGUCUGCAAGUCCUGGCUCUGGCAGUCCCUCCUUGUCCAGGUGCCGAGCACAGCUCAGCAUGACUUCCCCUAAGCCAAAAAACAAGUAGAAUGUGAACCAUGUAUCCUCUUUCACUUUCUUCACAGUAAUCCUUGACUUCUGUAGACAUCUAAACAAAGUGGUUUUUGUUCUUUUU